This is a non-coding RNA of Clostridium sp. CAG:557, 100 nucleotides long. Lineage: Bacteria; Bacillati; Bacillota; Clostridia; Eubacteriales; Clostridiaceae. The record is from Rfam.
UUAAAGAUACUCCUGCCCAGCCGCAGCUCGAGCGUGAAAAAAACGUCGCACGCAAUGGGGGUAGCCUCGCGAUAACUUCGAGGACGUGAAAUUCGUGUGC